AAAUUAUUAUAAAUAUUCAAUAUUAAUAUAUUAAAGUUAGGACUGAAACCGAUAAGCAUUGACUGAAAAGAAACGCUUUAGGCAAGUGGGUUUAACACAACUACUACUCUUAUCUUCUUCUUCUUCUUCUUUUUUUCUUUUUUUUUUCUUUUGCUUUUUACAAAAAUUGGUGAGUAUUCAUUUGAGUAAGUGAUAGAAAAUUCCUGAAGAAAAGGUUAGAUAAUUCAUCUUUGAAUCAGGUAGCUGGCUGGAAUCAGUACUAGAUUCAAUGGGGGAUAAUUAAACAGAAAACAAAGGGGUAACGUGCAGCUGCAAUUUCAUAAACAUUAUAUAUAUAUAUAGGUAUUGAGUUGAUUGAUAUGAGAUGGGCCAUUGAUGAUGGAAGCAAGAAAGCAGCAAUGGAAUUAGUGGAAUGAGAUGAAGUGGGAACAUGUGUGGCUUUCCACAUUAACCACUAAAGCUCUCAUCUUUGGAAUGGUAAAUUUUUGUUUCUCUUUUUAAAUGAAAAAGGGGGAAUGACCAUUAAGAUUCAAUGUGCGGACAAUAGGGUUGAAAUGGAACAGCUUUUUAAAUGGGCAAAAAGGUGUUGAAAGUGGAAGAAGGUGAACAUAGAGACAGGGAUAUACUGUUUGUGUCUAUAUGGUGUUUGUCAAAAUGCUGCAAUCAACCCCACAUUUCCAUUUCUACUAUAAAACAAGUAGGGAAGCCCACAUUUUCUACAUUGGAAAAAAAAUCAAUAUCUCCAAGGAAAAAAACAACAAAGAAGUUACAUUUAAAGUUUCUUUUCUUUUUCAUUGUUUGGAUUCUACAUAAAAACUUGUAUAAAUCCAACAACAAAAAAGAGCAUGUAACAUCACUGAAAUGAAAAUCGAUGGACCUCGAAA
Gossypium arboreum is the source of this 884-nucleotide long non-coding RNA. RefSeq lists it as uncharacterized. The transcript has 2 exons. The record is from RefSeq and is a predicted model, not a curated record. Lineage: Eukaryota; Viridiplantae; Streptophyta; Magnoliopsida; Malvales; Malvaceae.